UACGAAGGGGGCGAGCGUUGUUCGGAUUUACUGGGCGUAAAGGGCGCGCAGGCGGCUUUGUUUGUCAGGCGUGAAAGCCCCGGGCUUAACCUGGGAACUGCGUUUGAUACGGCAGGGCUAGAGUUCGGGAGAGGAGAGUGGAAGUCCCAGUGUAGAGGUGAAAUUCGUAGAUAUUGGGAAGAACACCGGUGGCGAAGGCGGCUCUCUGGACCGUAACUGACGCUGAGGCGCGAAAGCGUGGGGAGCAAACAGG
RNAcentral lists this ribosomal RNA (253 nucleotides) under uncultured bacterium. RNAcentral's name for it is "partial 16S ribosomal RNA". It matches the Rfam family "Bacterial small subunit ribosomal RNA", at positions 524 to 776 of the family's 1533-position model. The record is from RNAcentral.